RNAcentral lists this ribosomal RNA (442 nucleotides) under uncultured bacterium. RNAcentral's name for it is "partial 16S ribosomal RNA". It matches the Rfam family "Bacterial small subunit ribosomal RNA", at positions 338 to 795 of the family's 1533-position model. The record is from RNAcentral.
CCUACGGGAGGCAGCAGUGGGGAAUCUUUGGCAAUGGGCGAAAGCCUGACCCAGCAACGCCGCGUGAAGGAAGAAGGCUUUCGGGUUGUAAACUCCCUGUGAUAGGGAAGAGCAGAAGACGGUACCUGCCGAAUAAGCCACGGCCAACUACGUGUCAGCAGGCGCGGUAAUACGUAGGUGGCAAUCGUUGUCCGGACUUACUGGGUGUAAAGGGCGCGUAGCCGGGCUGAUAAGUCAGUUGUGAAAUCCGGGGGCUCAACCCCCGAACUGCAUAUGAAACUGUUGGACUUGAGUAACGGAGGGGGAGGCGGAAUUCCUGGUGUAGCAGUGAAAUGCGUAGAUAUUGGGAGGAACACCAGUGGCGAAGGCGGGCUGCUGGACAUCAACUGACGGUGAGGCACGAAGGCGUGGGGAGCAAAAGGGAUUAGAUACCCCAGUAGUC